GCCUUGUGUUACAUCACGGAUUUGACGGGCUCCCUCACACCUCUAUACCUUCUAGUAUAUUCUUUUUAUACAGUGCAUGUUUAUUUUUCCAAUACUACUCUUUUCAUAUUCCUUUUCUAAUCUACUAUGUAGUAAUUUCAUUCUAUUUCCUCACAACUUUCUCCAUCUUAAAUUGUUAAGACCAAAUGCUAGAAAAUCCCUAAUCUAAUCUUGCAUAUGAACGAAAACAAUGCUACGACGACGCCACAACGAUGGUUGAAUAUUGUAUUGAUGAACUUCUUAUGUAUAUUGCGGGGUUCAAGCAAAGAAGGAUGAGAUCUGAUGAAAGAACAUCUCAAAUGAAGGAGAGCAAAUAUGGAGUACUCAAGCCAUACUAUUAAUUGUAAUUAUAUUUUUAAAUAUGCGAUAAGUUUAUACAUUUGUUUGUUGGAAUUUCAAAGAGCUGAUUUUGUUCA
Long non-coding RNA from Chenopodium quinoa (quinoa), 455 nucleotides. RefSeq lists it as uncharacterized. NCBI's taxonomy places the organism in Eukaryota, Viridiplantae, Streptophyta, Magnoliopsida, Caryophyllales, Amaranthaceae. The record is from RefSeq and is a predicted model, not a curated record. The transcript is spliced from 3 exons.